UCUGAUAUAAUAAAAAAAAAGUUGAUGCACAUUAUCUAGCAAUUCGUAUCACUGGAUCUGAAUUCUUGACCCGGGCAAUAGAAAAUUCACACUAUGGGUAACCAACAUUAGUUACCAAUUACAAAAACUGUUAUGGAUGAAGUGUAACUAUUAGAACAAUAGGUUUUGCCUAAGGCUUCAGUAGAAUGCUCCAGAAGGCAGUGAAAUCUACAAUCAGUAUCAAUGUUUCUUUCUUCCAUAGUCAUUUACGUAUGUUUUUUUUUUUCUGUUUACGUUCCGUUUUUUUGCGUUC
This is a long non-coding RNA of Bufo bufo (common toad), 292 nucleotides long. RefSeq lists it as uncharacterized. The record is from RefSeq and is a predicted model, not a curated record. The transcript is spliced from 3 exons. Lineage: Eukaryota; Metazoa; Chordata; Amphibia; Anura; Bufonidae.